UUUCCGUAGGUGAACCUGCGAAAGGAUCAUUAAUGUAACCGGACCGUUCCUUUGCCGUAAAACACACUGGUUUGGAAAGGGAGAUAUCAAACACCCUUUGUUUAUUUUCUUUUGUUGAUUUGGUGAGCCGUCCUUUACGGCGUCGGCCUCGGCUGAUCGCGCCCGCCAGAGAACCCAAACUCUUUUAUUAGUGAUGUCUGAGUAUUAUAUAAUAAUUAAAACUUUCAACAACGGAUCUCUUGGUUCUG
Molecule: unclassified non-coding RNA, 248 nt
Filed under: plant metagenome
Description: partial contains small subunit ribosomal RNA, internal transcribed spacer 1, and 5.8S ribosomal RNA
Source: RNAcentral